UUCUGUCUGACUUCUCUAUUUCCAUCUCUUUCUCUGUGUGGUUGUCUUUUCUUUCUUUUUCUCCGGCUCUUUCGCUUUUUAAAAGAUGGGGUAAGAAUU
Molecule: non-coding RNA, 99 nt
Filed under: Chromera velia
Lineage: Eukaryota; Chromeraceae
Source: RNAcentral